GAUGAACGCUGGCGGUAUGCUUAACACAUGCAAGUCGAACGGACUCUUCGGAGUUAGUGGCGGACGGGUGAGUAACGCGUGAGAAUCUGGCUUUGGGUUCGGGACAACCACUGGAAACGGUGGCUAAUACCGGAUGUGCCGAGAGGUAAAAGAGAAAUCGCCUGAAGAUGAGCUCGCGUCUGAUUAGCUAGUUGGUGAGGUAAAGGCUCACCAAGGCAGCGAUCAGUAGCUGGUCUGAGAGGAUGACCAGCCACACUGGGACUGAGACACGGCCCAGACUCCUACGGGAGGCAGCAGUGGGGAAUUUUCCGCAAUGGGCGAAAGCCUGACGGAGCAAUACCGCGUGAGGGAAGAAGGCUCUUGGGUUGUAAACCUCUUUUCUUAGGGAAGAACAAAAUGACGGUACCUAAGGAAUCAGCAUCGGCUAACUCCGUG
This 435-nucleotide ribosomal RNA is filed under the name uncultured bacterium. Its description in RNAcentral is "partial 16S ribosomal RNA". It matches the Rfam family "Bacterial small subunit ribosomal RNA", at positions 28 to 507 of the family's 1533-position model. The record is from RNAcentral.